Molecule: ribosomal RNA, 1290 nt
Filed under: metagenome
Description: bacterial SSU rRNA
Rfam family: Bacterial small subunit ribosomal RNA
Source: RNAcentral
AGGCCUUGCGCUGAUUGAGCGGCCGAUAUCAGAUUAGCUAGUUGGUGAGGUAAAAGCUCACCAAGGCGACGAUCUGUAGCGGGUCCGAGAGGAUGAUCCGCCACACUGGAACUGAGACACGGUCCAGACUCCUACGGGAGGCAGCAGUGGGGAAUUUUGGACAAUGGGGGCAACCCUGAUCCAGCCAUGCCGCGUGAGUGAAGAAGGCCUUCGGGUUGUAAAGCUCUUUCAGCCGGGAAGAAAACGCAUGGGUUAAUACCCUGUGUGGAUGACGGUACCGGAAUAAGAAGCACCGGCUAACUACGUGCCAGCAGCCGCGGUAAUACGUAGGGUGCGAGCGUUAAUCGGAAUUACUGGGCGUAAAGCGUGCGCAGGCGGUUUUGUAAGACAGGCGUGAAAUCCCCGGGCUUAACCUGGGAACUGCGUUUGUGACUGCAAGGCUAGAGUACGGCAGAGGGGGGUGGAAUUCCACGUGUAGCAGUGAAAUGCGUAGAGAUGUGGAGGAACACCAAUGGCGAAGGCAGCCUCCUGGGUCGAUACUGACGCUCAUGCACGAAAGCGUGGGUAGCAAACAGGAUUAGAUACCCUGGUAGUCCACGCCCUAAACGAUGUCAACUAGGUGUUGGGAGGGUAAAACCUUUUAGUACCGGAGCUAACGCGUGAAGUUGACCGCCUGGGGAGUACGGCCGCAAGGUUAAAACUCAAAGGAAUUGACGGGGACCCGCACAAGCGGUGGAUGAUGUGGAUUAAUUCGAUGCAACGCGAAAAACCUUACCUACCCUUGACAUGCCAAGAACUUUCCAGAGAUGGAUUGGUGCCCGAAAGGGAACUUGGACACAGGUGCUGCAUGGCUGUCGUCAGCUCGUGUCGUGAGAUGUUGGGUUAAGUCCCGCAACGAGCGCAACCCUUGUCGUUAAUUGCCAUCAUUUAGUUGGGCACUUUAACGAGACUGCCGGUGACAAACCGGAGGAAGGUGGGGAUGACGUCAAGUCCUCAUGGCCCUUAUGGGUAGGGCUUCACACGUCAUACAAUGGUCGGUACAAAGGGUCGCCAAGCCGCGAGGUGGAGCCAAUCCCAGAAAGCCGAUCGUAGUCCGGAUCGCAGUCUGCAACUCGACUGCGUGAAGUCGGAAUCGCUAGUAAUCGUGGAUCAGCAUGUCACGGUGAAUACGUUCCCGGGUCUUGUACACACCGCCCGUCACACCAUGGGAGCGGGUUCCGCCAGAAGUAGGUAGCCUAACCGCAAGGAGGGCGCUUACCACGGCGGGGUUCGUGACUGGGGUGAAGUCGG